MicroRNA precursor from Ailuropoda melanoleuca (giant panda), 59 nucleotides. Ensembl annotates it as microRNA 660. The record is from Ensembl. NCBI's taxonomy places the organism in Eukaryota, Metazoa, Chordata, Mammalia, Carnivora, Ursidae.
UACCCAUUGCAUAUCGGAGUUGUGAAUUCUCAAAGCACCUCCUGUGUGCAUGGAUUACA